UACGGGGGGGGCAAGCGUUGUUCGGAAUUACUGGGCGUAAAGGGUUCGUAGGUGGCCAACUAAGUCACACGUGAAAUCCCUCAGCUUAACUGGGGAACUGCGUGUGAGACUGGCAGGCUCGAGGGCAGGAGAGGAACGCGGAAUUCCAGGUGUAGCGGUGAAAUGCGUAGAUAUCUGGAGGAACACCGGUGGCGAAGGCGGCGUUCUGGACUGUCUCUGACACUGAAGAACGAAAGCCAGGGGAGCAAACGGG
This 253-nucleotide ribosomal RNA is filed under the name uncultured bacterium. RNAcentral's name for it is "partial 16S ribosomal RNA". It matches the Rfam family "Bacterial small subunit ribosomal RNA", at positions 524 to 776 of the family's 1533-position model. The record is from RNAcentral.